This 1938-nucleotide ribosomal RNA is filed under the name human metagenome. Its description in RNAcentral is "bacterial LSU rRNA". It matches the Rfam family "Bacterial large subunit ribosomal RNA", at positions 1 to 2001 of the family's 2925-position model. The record is from RNAcentral.
AUAAGUUAUGUAAGGGCGUAUGGGGGAUGCCUAGGCUCUCAGAGGCGAAGAAGGACGUGAUAAGCUGCGAAAAGUUGCGGGGAUUGGCACAUACGAGGUGAUCCGCAAAUAUCCGAAUGGGGCAACCCAGUAUACUGAAGGUAUACUACAUCGUAAGAUGAGCAAACCCGCUGAACUGAAACAUCUAAGUAGGCGGAGGAGAAGAAAACAAAAGUGAUUCCCAAAGUAGUGGCGAGCGAAAUGGGAACAGCCCAAACCCGUAUUGUUACGGCAAUAUGGGGGUAGUAGGACCCAGAUAUAGGUUGUAAAGCUGGAUUAGAAGUGUUUGGAAAGACACACCAUAGAGAGUGAAAGUCUCGUAUAGGCACAGUUUUAUAAAUCUUAUGGGAAUCCUGAGUAGGUCGGGGCACGAGGAACCUUGACUGAAUCAGCCGGGACCAUCCGGUAAGGCUAAAUACUCCUGAGAGACCGAUAGUGGACGAGUACCGUGAGGGAAAGGUGAAAAGCACCGUGAAUAACGGAGUGAAAGAGACCCUGAAACCAUACGCUUACAAGCGGUCGGAGCGGAAAUAUCCGUGACGGCGUGCCUUUUGCAUAAUGAGCCUACGAGUUACUGUUACUGGCAAGGAUAAGCACUUAAGGUGCGCAUUCGAAGCGAAAGCGAGUCUGAAAAGGGCGCUGUAGUCAGUAGGAGUAGACGCGAAACCUGGUGAUCUACCCUUGGGCAGGUUGAAGCACUGGUAACACAGUGUGGAGGACCGAACUGGUUGUCGUUGAAAAGACUUCGGAUGACCUGAGGGUAGGGGUGAAAGGCCAAUCAAACUGGGAAAUAGCUCGUACUCCCCGAAAUGCAUUUAGGUGCAGCGUUGAAGUGAGUUUAAUAGAGGUAGAGCUACUGAUUGGAUGCGGGGGUUUCAUCGCCUACCAAUUCCUGACAAACUCCGAAUGCUAUUAAAUGCUCAUCAGCAGUGAGGGUAUGGGUGCUAAGGUCCAUAUCCGAGAGGGAAAGAACCCGGACCAUCAGCUAAGGUCCCCAAAUAUAUGCUAAGUUGACCAAACGCGGUCUGACUGCACUGACAGCUAGGAUGUUGGCUUGGAAGCAGCCAUACAUUUAAAGAGUGCGUAACAGCUCACUAGUCGAGCGGUUGGGCAUGGAUAAUAAACGGGCAUAAGCAUAUUACCGAAGCUAUGGGGUUAUUACUAAGUAAUAUACCGGUAGGGGAGCAUUCUAUUGGCGUGGAAGCUAAAGGCGUGAGCCAUAGUGGAGCCUGAUAGAAAAGAAAAUGUAGGCAUAAGUAACGAUAAGGCAGGCGAGAAACCUGCCCGCCGAAAGAUCAAGGUUUCCUCAGCUAUGCUAAUCAGCUGAGGGUUAGUCGGGGACUAACGCGCACCCGAGCAGGGGAAGUGGAUGUACAACAGGUUAAUAUUCCUGUACCAUUAAUCUGAUAAAAGUGACGGAACGAGAUAACUACCGCGUACUGACGGAAUAGUACGUUAAAGGAGCAGUUAUAGCUUUGAUAGUACACUGAAGCUUCGGCCGAGGUGAUAGAGUGGUGACAACGUUUCCAAGAAAAGCGAAGAUUAAUGCCCGUACCGUAAACCGACACAGGUGAUUGGGAUGAGAAUUCUAAGGCGCUCGAGAGAUUCAUGGCUAAGGAACUAGGCAAAAUAGACCUGUAACUUCGGGAGAAAGGUCGCCUAUCGUAAGAUAGGCCGCAGUGAAGAGGUCCAAGCGACUGUUUAUCAAAAACACAGGACUCUGCAAAAUCGAAAGAUGAGGUAUAGGGUCUGACACCUGCCCGGUGCUGGAAGGUUAAGAGGAGAGCUUAGCGUAAGCGAAGGUUUGAAUUGAAGCCCCAGUAAACGGCGGCCGUAACUAUAACGGUCCUAAGGUAGCGAAAUUCCUUGUCGGGUAAGUUCCGACCUGCACGAAUGGUG